GCCGGGAGUGGUGGCGCGCACCUAUAAUCCCAGCUACUUAGGAGGCUGAGGCAGGAGAAUCACUUGAACCCAGGAGGCAGAGAUUGCAGUGAGACAAGAUCACGCCACUGCACCACUGCAUUCCAGCCUGGGUGACAGAGUGAGAAUCUGUCUCAA
This is a non-coding RNA of Homo sapiens (human), 156 nucleotides long. It matches the Rfam family "Metazoan signal recognition particle RNA". Rfam says of the family: The signal recognition particle (SRP) is a universally conserved ribonucleoprotein. It is involved in the co-translational targeting of proteins to membranes. The record is from Rfam. NCBI's taxonomy places the organism in Eukaryota, Metazoa, Chordata, Mammalia, Primates, Hominidae.